UAAUUACAUGUAAAUGUUUUCAUCGGGCGCCAUUUUGAAUGUUGAAAGCGGUAUAUAUUAUUAGCUUAUUGCAGGCGCGAUAAUUUAUGUUCAUCUUUGACAUAAAUUUAUGUUACACGAUGAUACUCCGAAGGGCGACCGAGAAAGAUCCGAAAUUUAAAAUACGGCAGAGAAAAAAUAUAAAAUAAAGAGGGGAGUGAAACGGCCGAACACGUGAUGGGGUAUUGGCCAAUGACAGUGCGUAUAUCCAAUUUCGUUAUCUGGCCAUGCUCGUUCAUGAAGUUGAUCAAGAACUGUCAAAUCUAUCAAAACUUGAAUUGAUUUGCAUCGUUGCUCGCCAGCAGUGAAUUUUCGACAGAAG
Paramuricea clavata is the source of this 361-nucleotide non-coding RNA. NCBI's taxonomy places the organism in Eukaryota, Metazoa, Cnidaria, Anthozoa, Malacalcyonacea, Plexauridae. The record is from the annotation of a GenBank genome assembly.